UACGGAGGGUCCGAGCGUUAAUCGGAAUUACUGGGCGUAAAGCGCGCGUAGGCGGCUUGUUAAGUCGGAUGUGAAAGCCCUGGGCUCAACCUGGGAACUGCAUUCGAUACUGGCUAGCUAGAGUGCAAGAGAGGGAGGUAGAAUUCCAUGUGUAGCGGUGAAAUGCGUAGAUAUAUGGAGGAAUACCAGUGGCGAAGGCG
This 200-nucleotide ribosomal RNA is filed under the name uncultured bacterium. RNAcentral describes it as "partial 16S ribosomal RNA". It matches the Rfam family "Bacterial small subunit ribosomal RNA", at positions 524 to 723 of the family's 1533-position model. The record is from RNAcentral.